UGGAUAUAAGAAACCAUUUUUUAAUUUUUAAGUAAAAAAACUAAGAGCCAGCUCUUAAAUAUCUAUUUAAGAGUCGCCCUUAGCUUUUUUACUUAAAAAUUAAGAGACGGUUUUUUAUAUCCC
MicroRNA precursor from Brassica oleracea var. oleracea, 123 nucleotides. It matches the Rfam family "MIR9563 microRNA precursor family". NCBI's taxonomy places the organism in Eukaryota, Viridiplantae, Streptophyta, Magnoliopsida, Brassicales, Brassicaceae. The record is from Rfam.